AGAGUUUGAUCAUGGCUCAGAACGUACGCUGGCGGCACGCUUAUACAUGCAAGUCGAACGAAGUAGCAAUACUUAGUGGCGGACGGGUGAGUAUGAUGUGGGUAUCUGCCUAUUGGUUUGGAAUAACACGGGGAAACUUGUGCUAAUACUGAAUAAGCCUUCACAGGGAAAGCUUUAUGCGCCGAUAGAUGAGCCCGCACUUGAUUAGCUUGUUGGUGAGGUAAUAGCUCACCAAGGCUACGAUCAAUAGCUGAUCUGAGAGGAUGAUCAGCCACAUUGGGACUGAGACACGGCCCAAACUCCUACGGGAGGCAGCAGUAGGGAAUAUUGCACAAUGGAGGAAACUCUGAUGCAGCGAUGCCGCGUGAGUGAAGAAGGCCUUUGGGUUGUAAAGCUCUUUCGUCGGGGAAGAAAAUGACUGUACCCGAAUAAGAAGGUCCGGCUAACUUCGUGCCAGCAGCCGCGGUAAUACGAAGGGACCUAGCGUAGUUCGGAAUUACUGGGCUUAAAGAGCACGUAGGUGGUUAGAAAAGUUAGUGGUGAAAUCCCAAGGCUUAACCUUGGAACUGCCACUAAAACUUUUUAACUAGAGUAUGAUAGAGGUAAGCGGAAUUUCUAGUGUAGAGGUGAAAUUCGUAGAUAUUAGAAAGAACACCAAUUGCGAAGGCAGCUUUCUGGAUCAUUACUGACACUGAGGUGCGAAAGCAUGGGUAGCGAAGAGGAUUAGAUACCCUCGUAGUCCAUGCUGUAAACGAUGUGUGCUAGACGUUGGAAAUUUUAUUUUCAGUGUCGCAGCAAAAGCGUUAAGCACACCGCCUGGGGAGUACGACCGCAAGGUUAAAACUCAAAUGAAUUGACGGGGACCCGCACAAGUAGUGGAGCAUGUGGUUUAAUUCGAAGAUACGCGCAGAACCUUACCAACACUUGACAUGUUCGUCGCGACUUUAAGAGAUUAAAGUUUUCGGUUCGGCCGGACGAAACACAGGUGCUGCAUGGCUGUCGUCAGCUCGUGUCGUGAGAUGUUGGGUUAAGUCCCGCAACGAGCGCAACCCUUACUUUUAGUUGCUACCAUUUAGUUGGGCACUCUAAAAGAACUGCCAGUGAUAAGCUGGAGGAAGGUGGGGAUGACGUCAAGUCCUCAUGGCCCUUACGUGUUGGGCUACACACGUGCUACAAAGGUACUUACAGUGAGAAGCGAAGAGGCGACUCUAAGCCAAUCCCAAAAAAGUACCUCAGUUCGGAUUGUACUCUGCAACUCGAGUACAUGAAGCUGGAAUUACUAGUAAUCGCGGAUCAGCGCGCCGCGGUGAAUACGUUCCCGGGUCUUGUACACACCGCCCGUCACACCAUGGAAGUUGGUUACACCUUAAGGCAAAGCUUAAAACCUUUGACUACGGUACGAUCAGCGACUGGGGUGAAGUCGUAACAAGGUAGCCGUAGGGGAACCUGUGGGUGGAUCACCUCCUU
RNAcentral lists this ribosomal RNA (1467 nucleotides) under uncultured Alphaproteobacteria bacterium. RNAcentral describes it as "bacterial SSU rRNA". It matches the Rfam family "Bacterial small subunit ribosomal RNA". Lineage: Bacteria; Pseudomonadati; Pseudomonadota; Alphaproteobacteria. The record is from RNAcentral.